This 585-nucleotide unclassified non-coding RNA is filed under the name Hevea brasiliensis (rubber tree). The record is from RNAcentral. Lineage: Eukaryota; Viridiplantae; Streptophyta; Magnoliopsida; Malpighiales; Euphorbiaceae.
GGGAUGUCAAGUUACUAACCGAAGAUAUUGGAGAGCUGAAACCAACUAUCUUCUGUGCUGUACCUCGGGUAUUAGACAGAAUAUAUUCAGGUUUGCAACAUAAAAUUACUUCUGGUGGUAUGCUCAAAAGCACCUUGUUCAAUCUUGCGUAUGCUUACAAACACCGCAAUUUGAAGAAGGGGCAAAGCCACGUUGAAGCUUCUCCCCUUUCUGACAAAGUCGUUUUCAGUAAGGUAAAAGAAGGGUUAGGAGGCAGAGUACGCCUUAUAUUGUCUGGAGCAGCUCCCCUUGCAUCUCAUGUGGAAGCUUUUUUGCGAGUUGUGGGAUGUUGUCACGUUCUUCAAGGAUAUGGUUUGACUGAAACAUGUGCUGGUACAUUUGUGUCACUACCAAACCACUAUGAUAUGCUUGGUACGGUUGGUCCUCCGGUGCCCAAUGUGGAUGUGUGCCUGGAGUCCGUCCCUGAAAUGUCAUAUGAUGCUCUGUCAAGCACGCCACGUGGAGAAGUAUGCGUGAGGGGGGACACUCUUUUUUCAGGCUAUUUCAAGCGUGAAGACCUAACAAAAGAAGUCAUGAUUGAUGGGU